RNAcentral lists this ribosomal RNA (450 nucleotides) under uncultured Glomeromycotina. RNAcentral describes it as "SSU rRNA". It matches the Rfam family "Eukaryotic small subunit ribosomal RNA", at positions 569 to 1021 of the family's 1831-position model. The record is from RNAcentral. Lineage: Eukaryota; Fungi; Glomeromycota.
AGCAGCCGCGGUAAUUCCAGCUCCAAUAGCGUAUAUUAAAGUUGUUGCAGUUAAAAAGCUCGUAGUUGAAUUUCGGGGUCAGUAGGUUGGUCAUGCCUCCGGUAUGUACUGGUCUCACUGAUUCCUCCUUCCUGAUGAGCCGUAAUGCCAUUAAUUUGGUGUUGCGGGGAAUCUGGACCGUUACUUUGAAAAAAUUAGAGUGUUUAAAGCAAGCUAACGCUUGAAUACAUUAGCAUGGAAUAAUGGAAUAGGACGUUCGAUCCUAUUUUGUUGGUUUCUAGGAUUGACGUAAUGAUUAAUAGGGAUAGUUGGGGGGCAUUAGUAUUCAAUUGUCAGAGGUGAAAAUUCUUGGAUUUAUUGAGGACUAACUACUGCGAAAGCAUUUGCCAAGGAUGUUUUCAUUAAUCAAGAACGAAAGUUAGGGGAUCGAAGACGAUCAGAUACCGUCGU